UUGCUUUCUUUCAUCUAUUUUUCUUUUAUAAACCAAACAAAGAGAUGCGUUGCUCUUUGACUAAGUUGAUCUCCUUUAGAACUUGGGUUUUGUCAUGGCUGCUUUAUUUGACCAAAAGAUUCACAAGCAUAAACACACAAUAUUACAUAGUCAUUGUAAAAAAAAAUAUAUUUAUUAUUAUAGAAACUUUUUUUUAGCAAGUUUUAUUAAAUUUAUUUAUUAUAUAAACUUGUUAAACAAGUUUUAGUAAUACAAUUUUUAUGUAUUAAAUUUAUUUAUGACUAUAAAUCGUCUUGUUUAAUUCAUUGCCUUUUUAAUUGCACUUGCCAAUCCAUCAUAGGCUAUCUCCCAAGCAGUGUUUAAUUCUUCACUCCAUUUAUCUUCUGAUACUUCCUUUAUUGUUUUUAGCAAAGCUUCUUUAACCACCUGAAACACAUCAAAAAUAUUAAUUGCAUGUGAACGAAUAUGAAAAAUACUUAUCAAAAACUAGUUUAUUUUUACCAAAACAAUUAUUAAUAUAUAUUUUUAUAUCAUUUUUCUAUCUUUGCUUCUUUGGAAUAAAUGAAAUAAAUAAUAAGAAGUAGUAACAAAACAAUUGAAUCACAAUGAUCCAUAGUUUUUUUUUUUGUGCGUGGAGAAUUUCGUUAGUUACAUCCACUGAGUUUAUUAUGUUAUAUUAUAGUUUUAUCUUUAUACAUUAAUUUUACAUGAUUUUCUUUAAUUAUUAAUUUCCAAUAUUUACAUCAUAAUUUUAAAAAUGGAAUGGAACUGAAAAUGCUUAUUUAUUGUUGUAUUAUUAUAUUAGAAAAUUAGUGGCUAUUAGACAGUAAAAAAUUCAAGAACACAUCCACUAAAAUAUCUUAUUAGAUUAUCAUACCACAAAAUGAGGAUCAACAACUCCCUUUUGGAUGUGGAUAGCGCCUAGUGUAGCAUCACCCAAAACCACUUCUCCUUUUACUCGGAGUUGAACAGCCGAGUCGCGUACCUAUAAUUCAAAAAAUAUAAACAUCUUCAGAUAGAUAAUGUGCAUGUUAAAUAAAAUUAAAAAAAAAAAAUUAAAUUUGGUAUUAUAUUCCUAUAUUACUGGACUGUGAUUAUAAAUUAUGAAGAAGAUAAAAUAUCUAGGGAUAGAAAUAAACAAUCUUACCAACACGUAAAAUUAAAAAUAAAGGAUUGAAUUAAUAAAAGUAAAUGUGUCAAAUGUGACGGGCAAUAUAUCCGAAUCUUGGAGUUAAAAAUUGAAACUUAUUGUUCCCAUUUUAGCCUUUGUUGUAAAACAUCUGGAAAUUACACAUUUACCUUCAUUGGUAGUUAACUCACUUCGAUAGUUAAUUGCCGCAGAACAAGAAAUAUCGGCAAUUAACUACCAUUGGAGUAAGUUUUUUAGUUAUCUUUUUUAGCUCUCUCACACACACACACAUAUAUAUAUAUAUAUAUAUAUAUAUAUAUAUAUAUAUAUAACACUAUACAAUGUUACAUAUAUUAAUUAAAUAUACAUUGCAAUGCAAUUACUAUAAUAAACAUAUAUGAAGGACAAUGAUUUAAAGUAAUAUUUCAUAGUUAUUAAUUUUAAAAAUAAUAAUAUUGACACUGAAUGUAGACUAAAAAAAAGAAAGUGAAUUGACGUUGAAUUACAUAUAUGUUGGAUUAAACUCACCAUUCCAAAAACUUUUUCAGCGUGGGCUUGGAGUUUAGGACUAUCUUGUACUCCAGCUGAAUCCUUAAGAAAAGAGAACAUGCCCUUUGCUGCAGGUGCUUUGUCUAAUAUACUAUUUUAAUAAAAACAACAAUAAAAUUAUUGUUAAUUUGUUCUCGACAAUCAACAAAAAGGGAAAAUACAAGUUAAAAACACUCAAAAUAGGUAAAACUUACAUAGUGUAGAACAAAACACUGUAUUUAGGAAGGUUUUGUUUAAAUGCUUCCCAUGAGCUAUUAACUAAAGCCUCUUGGUUUUCGGUGAAACCCAUAUUUCUCUACUUCUUGUUUUAAGUUUUGAUAUUGCAA
Molecule: long non-coding RNA, 2004 nt
Filed under: Medicago truncatula (barrel medic)
Lineage: Eukaryota; Viridiplantae; Streptophyta; Magnoliopsida; Fabales; Fabaceae
Description: lncRNA gene30604
Source: RNAcentral